This 341-nucleotide ribosomal RNA is filed under the name uncultured Pseudomonadota bacterium. RNAcentral's name for it is "bacterial SSU rRNA". It matches the Rfam family "Bacterial small subunit ribosomal RNA", at positions 29 to 351 of the family's 1533-position model. Lineage: Bacteria; Pseudomonadati; Pseudomonadota. The record is from RNAcentral.
AACGAACGCUGGCGGCGUGCCUAACACAUGCAAGUCGUACGAGAAAUCCUGAGCAAUCGGGAGAGUAAAGUGGCGCACGGGUGAGUAACGCGUGGGUAACCUAUCCUUGAAUCCGGGAUAACUCCGCGAAAGCGGGGCUAAUACCAGAUAAUAUUUCGAUUCCCUCGGAAGUUGAAAUCAAAGAUGGCCUCUGCAUGCAAGCUAUUGUUUAAGGAUGGGCCCGCGUACCAUUAGCUAGUUGGGAGGGUAAUAGCCUACCAAGGCAACGAUGGUUAGCUGGUCUGAGAGGAUGGUCAGCCACACUGGAACUGAGACACGGUCCAGACUCCUACGGGUGGCAG